AACGAACGCUGGCGGCAUGCCUAACACAUGCAAGUCGAACGCUCCGCAAGGGGAGUGGCGAACGGGUGAGUAACGCGUGGGAACCUGCCCAGUAGUUGGGGAUAACCGCGGGAAACUGCGGCUAAUACCGAAUACGCCCUAAGGGGGAAAGAUUUAUCGCUAUUGGAGGGGCCCGCGUCGGAUUAGCUGGUUGGUGAGGUAACGGCUCACCAAGGCGACGAUCCGUAGCUGGUCUGAGAGGANGAUCAGCCACACUGGGACUUAGACACCGGCCCAGACUCCUACGGGAGGCAGCAGUGGGGAAUAUGGACAAUGGGGCAACCCUGAUCCAGCAAUGCCGCGUGAGUGAUGAAGGCC
This 357-nucleotide ribosomal RNA is filed under the name uncultured bacterium. Its description in RNAcentral is "bacterial SSU rRNA". It matches the Rfam family "Bacterial small subunit ribosomal RNA", at positions 29 to 416 of the family's 1533-position model. The record is from RNAcentral.